RNAcentral lists this ribosomal RNA (447 nucleotides) under uncultured bacterium. RNAcentral describes it as "bacterial SSU rRNA". It matches the Rfam family "Bacterial small subunit ribosomal RNA", at positions 355 to 825 of the family's 1533-position model. The record is from RNAcentral.
UCGGGAAUUUUGGGCAAUGGGCGAAAGCCUGACCCAGCAACGCCGCGUGAAGGAUGAAGUAUUUCGGUAUGUAAACUUCGAAAGAAUAGGAAGAAUAAAUGACGGUACUAUUUAUAAGGUCCGGCUAACUACGUGCCAGCAGCCGCGGUAAUACGUAGGGACCAAGCGUUGUUCGGAAUUACUGGGCGUAAAGAGUACGUAGGCGGUGAUUCAAGUCAGAGGUGAAAGCCUGGAGCUCAACUCCAGAACUGCCUUUGAAACUAGAUCGCUAGAAUCAUGGAGAGGUUAGUGGAAUUCCGAGUGUAGAGGUGAAAUUCGUAGAUAUUCGGAAGAACACCAGUGGCGAAGGCGACUAACUGGACAUGUAUUGACGCUGAGGUACGAAAGCGUGGGGAGCAAACAGGAUUAGAUACCCUGGUAGUCCCUGAGCGGGCUGGCAAGGCGCAU